UACGUAGGGUGCGAGCGUUGUCCGGAAUUAUUGGGCGUAAAGAGCUCGUAGGCGGUGUGUCGCGUCGGCCGUGGAAACCUGGGGCUCAACUCUGGGCGUGCGGUCGAUACGGGCAUCACUGGAGUUCGGCAGGGGAGACUGGAAUUCCUGGUGUAGCGGUGAAAUGCGCAGAUAUCAGGAGGAACACCGGUGGCGAAGGCGGGUCUCUGGGCCGAUACUGACGCUGAGGAGCGAAAGCAUGGGUAGCGAACAGG
RNAcentral lists this ribosomal RNA (254 nucleotides) under uncultured bacterium. Its description in RNAcentral is "partial 16S ribosomal RNA". It matches the Rfam family "Bacterial small subunit ribosomal RNA", at positions 524 to 776 of the family's 1533-position model. The record is from RNAcentral.